AUACCCUCCCAAGGUGGGAUCCCCGACCCUGAAGCCGGAGAAGGCAGCUCUGGUGCAAAAGUUUCUAUGCUCCCUCUAUCACCUCCAUCCCUGAGGUUAUCGCAGAUUAGAAGG
Long non-coding RNA from Chelonia mydas (Green sea turtle), 114 nucleotides. RefSeq lists it as uncharacterized. NCBI's taxonomy places the organism in Eukaryota, Metazoa, Chordata, Testudines, Cheloniidae. The record is from RefSeq and is a predicted model, not a curated record. The transcript is spliced from 2 exons.